CCAGGCGACACCAGGCUCCGCAUAACCCGGGAGUGGCUCAGGCCAGGUCCAUGUUAACGCGUCCUAUGGGUCCCCUCCUCCUCCUAUCCGGGAUCCCACGGCCGGGUUCAGCUGGCCUCCGGCUCCGCUGCGAACACGGGAAACCUGCGGAACUCCCGCGGCGCCGCUCAACAGCCACUCGCCCGGCGCCGUCGAACUUCCGCCGCCCAGUCCGCCGCAGCGGGCCUGCGGCCCGGACCCGGGAACAAAGGGGGCCGGGCAGCCAAUGGCAGCCGGGCAGCUCCGGGCCGCCGCCAAUCACCGAGCGCCGCACGCACCUUCGCGGCCCGAGCGCGGCGCUGGCAAAUCUGUGAUCAACUGAGUUUUCUCUUCUCAUUAAACUAAAGAGUCAUGAGGUAUCAUUAUCCGCUGCUGCCCUUUAUAAUCUUAAGGCAAAUACUGGUACAAAAUACUCAUUUUCUACUCUAGAAACUCCAUACUAUUCCACCAAAUUACAGUAAGAUUUAUUUUAAGCAGAAAUCCAAAGCGG
Molecule: long non-coding RNA, 529 nt
Filed under: Homo sapiens (human)
Lineage: Eukaryota; Metazoa; Chordata; Mammalia; Primates; Hominidae
Description: HSALNT0127702
Source: RNAcentral